UAGGAACUGCCAACAAAGAAGCAACAAAGGAUGAUGACUCGAUCAUAAUUCUGGAGUGAAGACAGGGAGGGAACCACAACACUUUCGCCAAAUUCAGACUUAAUAAAUAAGCCAAAGCAAGGAUUGAGACGAAGUGAAGCCAAAGACACCAACAGUAGAAAUAAAACACAUGCAACUUAGAAAUCACACCACCAAUCCAUUGAUCUUACGGAUCCAGAGCUCCAAUCUUGAAAUAAGCUAAAUCUAAACAGAUUUGAAGCUUCAGCUUAACACCGC
RNAcentral lists this long non-coding RNA (276 nucleotides) under Brassica napus (rape). Its description in RNAcentral is "long non-coding RNA (BNAP_LNC013844)". Lineage: Eukaryota; Viridiplantae; Streptophyta; Magnoliopsida; Brassicales; Brassicaceae. The record is from RNAcentral.